AUGGGGGUGCCUAAGCAAGGGAAGAAAGCUUCACCAGGGGGCCCUGCCCCAAAGGGCGUCCUCACCGCAUCGUGCUCGCAAACGGGCCAGCCCUCCACCGAGCUUCCGGCUAGUAGCUCGUCUCAACAGGGUUCGUCUUUAGGGGAUCUUCUUUCGGAGAUGAUGGAAAGUGAAACUCCACCUGCCUCUCCAUCCCAUGGGGCAGGCGACCCUGAGGUGUCAUCACGGAAGAGCCUAGAUCCGUUGAGGCCGGAAGCUGACACUUCGGCCGCCCCGAGCCCGACGCAUUCGGCUCCCUUGGAGGGCGAUGAGAAGGGUCCGGAACAGUCCGGUGCCCGGCCGAACACGCUGAUGGGCCUCCUAGAGCAAGCUGCUCUCUCAGAGGGUCACCGUACGCUAAUGGGUACGGUGUUAGAGAAAAUUUCUUCCGCCACAAGCGGGUUAAAUGAAGCUUUUGGAAGUUUGCUCAAAGGCUUCGAGGUACGCGAUAAAAUACGUAAUUUUGAUUGUUCCGCACGCGCUAGGUGUGCUCCGUAUAGAUAG
Molecule: ribosomal RNA, 543 nt
Filed under: Triticum aestivum (bread wheat)
Lineage: Eukaryota; Viridiplantae; Streptophyta; Magnoliopsida; Poales; Poaceae
Description: partial small subunit ribosomal RNA
Source: RNAcentral